UAGAAUUGACGGGGCCGCACAAGCGGUGGAGCAUGUGGUUUAAUUCGAAGCAACGCGAAGACCUUACCAGGUCUUGACAUCCCGAUGCUAUUUCUAGAGAUAGAAAGUUACUUGGUACAUCGGUGACAGGUGGUGCAUGGUUGUCGUCAGCUCGUGUCGUGAGAUGUUGGGUUAAGUCCCGCAACGAGCGCAACCCCCUAUUGUUAGUUGCCAUCAUUCAGUUGGGCACUCUAGCGAGACUGCCGGUAGUAAACCGGAGGAAGGUGGGGAUGACGUCAAAUCAUCAUGCCCCUUAUGACCUGGGCUACACACGUGCUACAAUGGUUGGUACAACGAGUUGCGAGUCGGUGACGGCGAGCUAAUCUCUUAAAGCCAAUCUCAGUUCGGAUUGUAGGCUGCAACCCGCCUACAUGAAGUCGGAAUCGCUAGUAAUCGCGGAUCAGCACGCCGCGGUCGAAUACGUUCCCGGGCCUU
This 474-nucleotide ribosomal RNA is filed under the name uncultured Streptococcus sp. RNAcentral's name for it is "bacterial SSU rRNA". It matches the Rfam family "Bacterial small subunit ribosomal RNA", at positions 907 to 1382 of the family's 1533-position model. The record is from RNAcentral. Lineage: Bacteria; Bacillati; Bacillota; Bacilli; Lactobacillales; Streptococcaceae.